GAUGAACGCUGGCGGCGUGCCUAAUACAUGCAAGUCGAGCGAACGGACGAGAAGCUUGCUUCUCUGAUGUUAGCGGCGGACGGGUGAGUAACACGUGGAUAACCUACCUAUAAGACUGGGAUAACUUCGGGAAACCGGAGCUAAUACCGGAUAAUAUUUUGAACCGCAUGGUUCAAAAGUGAAAGACGGUCUUGCUGUCACUUAUAGAUGGAUCCGCGCUGCAUUAGCUAGUUGGUAAGGUAACGGCUUACCAAGGCAACGAUGCAUAGCCGACCUGAGAGGGUGAUCGGCCACACUGGAACUGAGACACGGUCCAGACUCCUAUGGGAGGCAGCAGUAGGGAAUCUUCCGCAAUGGGCGAAAGCCUGACGGAGCAACGCCGCGUGAGUGAUGAAGGUCUUCGGAUCGUAAAACUCUGUUAUUAGGGAAGAACAUAUGUGUAAGUAACUGUGCACAUCUUGACGGUACCUAAUCAGAAAGCCACUGCUAACUACGUG
Molecule: ribosomal RNA, 497 nt
Filed under: uncultured bacterium
Lineage: Bacteria
Description: partial 16S ribosomal RNA
Rfam family: Bacterial small subunit ribosomal RNA
Source: RNAcentral